Long non-coding RNA from Mugil cephalus (flathead mullet), 1449 nucleotides. RefSeq lists it as uncharacterized. The transcript has 2 exons. The record is from RefSeq and is a predicted model, not a curated record. Lineage: Eukaryota; Metazoa; Chordata; Actinopteri; Mugiliformes; Mugilidae.
GGACAACCAAGGGGACAACCAAUGGGGGAACCAAUGGGGGAGGGGGGAGAGGUACUUUUAUACAACAUUACAAUGCUGGAGUCAUCAUAGGUGGAAGGGUUGGAGUCACCUUGGCUGUAGUCAUAGCAACAGUCCGCCUGGUACUGUAGUGUAAAAAGAGAGAAGGUAAAAAGCUGCUUUGUGACUGCGUCAACUCUACAACGUAUUUCUUCAGGAAACUAAAAGGAACCUGGAAGUAACUCUGAGAGACAGAUGCACUGGAACAGAAGCACAUCUGGAGCGUCUGAUAAAAAAUGUAUAAUGUAUAAUUGAUGUAUAAUAUCAUGUAUAAGAUGGUGGAUUUUUAAUAGUUUUGAUCAAUAAACAGGUUGUGAGUGUGUUCUAGAAAUCCAGCCUGGUGAAUAAUCUGCACUGCUCGUUUCUGUGAUGUGACUAAUGGAUUAAUUGUGCAUUAGUAACUGUUCCCCCACACGUCAACACAAUAGGUGAAGUAUGUUAGUACUGAGGAGCAGUAUAAAGUGUAUUGUUUCACUUUAUUUGUAAUUGCAAGACUUUUGGAGAUUUGAUGACAAAUGAUGAGGACAGAAGUUCAAACAAAGGGUAUUGACAAAAUAAAACAGGAAACACACGACAAGACACAGACAGACAUCAAGACAGAAACAAGAGUCACGACAGACAGGAAGUUACGACACUAAACAAAAUAAAACAGGGAACUCAAAACCAUGAUCACAAAAUAAAACACAGAACCAUGACAACCUGACACUAAAUGAGUUCAGUGACCAGCUGAUGGUCCAUGUGUCAUCUGUGUUUAAAGUCUGGAAACAUCAUUUCUGAAACUCAGCUGAGAUGUUUCCUUAAUCUGUGGAUUCUUGUAAUGUGGAAGUGAAGUUUUGUGUGAGUAUUUAUGCGUCCAGAGUGCGACCUUUUAGACAAUUUCCACCACAGUAAAGACACUAAGAGAUUUAUUUUUUAUGUUUUUAUUCAGGAUCUUUGGUGUUUUACUUUUGUUCUGUUUAAACCCCAGUUUACUCAGUUUACUGUGUGGUUUUACUUUUACUUUAUCUGUAAAAUAAGUAUUUUUUUUUCUCUUGAGCUCUGACAACAAAUGAUCUGUGUUUCCAGUUUGUGUCCAGCAGGGGGCGCUGUUUCCUCCUCAUUCAUUCAGUCUGUUAAACAUUUCAGUGUUCACAUAGGACACUACAGUUUUAGUACAACUCAUUAUUAAUCCUUUCACCUUUCAACACAGUUUUCUGUGUAGAUAUAUUUUUUUAUAAAAACAUUUUUAGUCUCAGGAACCUUUGAAGUGUUUUUACCUUUAGAAAUCUGCUCACUGCUCUUCCUCCAUGUCUUUAAAUAACAGCUCUGAUGAUUAAAUGUCAAACUUUUGUUCCAGAUCAGCAGCACAAAGAACGAAUGUCAAAAUAAAGUUGUGGAGUUUUUACUCAUCAA